Molecule: long non-coding RNA, 1245 nt
Organism: Salvelinus namaycush (lake trout)
Lineage: Eukaryota; Metazoa; Chordata; Actinopteri; Salmoniformes; Salmonidae
Exons: 2
Source: RefSeq, a predicted model, not a curated record
GUGGAGUUUGAGGAUGGUUCCCAGGUGGUAGCUAAGAGAGAGGACGUCUAUACUCUGGAUGAAGACCUUCCCAAAAAGGUGAAAGGGCGACUCUCGACGGCAUCCAGCAUGCGUUUCCAGGACGCCUUCUUCACGACCCAGGGAGAGAGGAAGAGACAGAGAACGCCCAACUCCCGUUUCCAGAAAGACUAUGUGGCCCUCCCAGGCCUCCUUACCGCCAGCAAGAGCACAUGGGAGCCCCGCAGCCCUAAAGGAAAAUGAUAGAGGGGUGGAGAGAUGACAAAUGAAUGCACUGAUGUAUGUGUGUGUGAGUGUAGCUGUGGGAUGUACAGGGGUGUGUGUGUGUGUGUGUGUGUCCUCUCCCUGGGUCGUAGGAAAGAGGGCUGGGCAGAGGACCAUUUAGAUUGGACUGUAUUGUCCUGAAGAAGGGUUAUCAUGAGUUGUGGUGGUUACCCAGUGCUUUCUCAUAAGUCAGGGAAUUCAAAACAAAAACGAUUUGUCACCUGAUUGCGUUUAAAAAAAGAAUAAAAACACAAAAACACAUGUUUUUCUUUGUAUAUUACCAAAACAAACAGAGCUUCUUCUUUUCUAAACAAGCCCUACAACACAGUAGCGUUUUGGAAUCUGCUGUAUCUACCUGAGGAUUAUUUUGAAUAUGAAUGCAUCCCCCGUCCCAGACUGUGCCCUAAAUGGCACCCUAUUCCCUAUAUACUGCACUACUUUAGACCAGGGCCCUGGUUAAAAGUAGUGCACUUCUAUAAGGGAAUAGGGUGCCAGUGUUUUCCCUCUCCGCAUGUUAGCUGUCGUCUACUGCUUCUGCUCCUCGGCCGCGUCUCCAUACUCUCAAAGCGGCUUCCUCUCCUCGUUUCCUUGUAUACUCGUCUCCUUUCCUUUAUCCUCCAUUCACACUGACCUGAAAGGACUGGAAAGGUGAAGGCGAACACACACACAAAAGACAUCGGCCAUUUUUGAUAUUGCUUUAAUUUGUCUGGCUCAGUGCCAGAUCAGUGCGGAUUAAGUAAAGGAGUUGAGGAAAGGAGACGAGAAGAGGAAGCAACUAGAUAAUUGAGUUCUCUGUCCUCUUAAUUAACAUGUGAAACAGAGUUGCUACUGUCGCUGUGUUGAAUAAAAACACGGGGUCAUCUAAUUAUUUAAUUUAAUAUUUUUAUUUAUUUUUGGGGCUUGCUUUUUAAAAAAGUAUUGCUAACUGCUGUAAGGAAAACAAUAAAUAACUUUCAUGUCCUG